Molecule: ribosomal RNA, 642 nt
Filed under: Photocryptus sp. NL360
Lineage: Eukaryota; Metazoa; Arthropoda; Insecta; Hymenoptera; Ichneumonidae
Description: eukaryotic LSU rRNA
Rfam family: Eukaryotic large subunit ribosomal RNA
Source: RNAcentral
CCUGAGAAACCCAAAAGAUCGAAUGGGGAGAUUCAUCGUCAGCGAUUUUGGUACGUGUGCGGCUCGCGAUGCCAGAGACCUCGGUCUGCAGGCACGCGUCCGCAUGUUUUUUAUUGCCUCGAUCGUCGGCGUGCACUUCUCCCCUAGUAGGACGUCGCGACCCGUUGGGUGUCGGUCUACGGCCCGGGUGGUAGCCUGUCUCGUGUUCGCUUCGCGGCGUUACGCGGUUCAGACCCCCGGUCGCCCGACCGGCUGCUCGGCGGUACUCGCACGGUAUCUGGCCGCAAAUAUUCAAACUGCGUCCGGCCCGUCGCAAGCGCGGCAAGUGUUUUCCCGGUUGUACGGAUCUAAUGCCGUCACCGGGCCUUGCCAGCUGUUGGUUGACGGUGUCCUAGGACUGGCUAAUGCAAUUAUGAUACCGGUCGGCGACGCUACUGCUUUGGGUACUUUCAGGACCCGUCUUGAAACACGGACCAAGGAGUCUAACAUGUGCGCGAGUCAUUGGGAACUAUUAAGCCUAAAGGCGCAAUGAAAGUGAAGGUCCGCCUUGCGCCGACCGAGGGAGGAUGGGCCGCGUCACGAUGCGGUCCCGCACUCCCGGGGCGUCUCGUUCUCAUUGCGAGAAGAGGCGCGGCCAGAGCG